UCCGCGAGGGCGGAGCCUGAGCUAUUGAAGGAGGGUUAGACUCGCGAACUCCGGUGGUGAAAUGACUCUUAGUAAUAGUUAAUCUUUAAUGAGUGAGGAUUACUGGGGCCUGUCUUUUACCAUUGUGGAAACGGCCCUCUGAGAGGGGCAGAGAAGAAAUGAAUUCCGGAAGGCUGUUGCAACCCCUUCUCACCGGUUGGCGCGCGAGGGGCGGAGGCAGAGUGGGUGGGGCAUAGUACCCCCUCCUCCGCGCCUUAUACGACAUCUAAAAUUUUCCUGAGUGGGAACGGAAAAAUCCAAGUCCUCAAGCCACCGUGUUAAAGGGAAAGCAGCAUGAACAGGGCAUCAACACGGCCUGGUGUCACUAGGAGUUCUGCCCUAGCCGCUGCGAAGAAGCAGAAAUGAGCACCUGGCAGGUUUGCUUUGCUCCCGCCUGCUUUCCCAACCUGGCCCUGAAGGUGUUUCUUUCUACUUAGCGUCGUAAAUUUCCCGGCGCCGCCCCUGAGGGGCUCCGAGGCGGGCGGGCGGGCGCCCCCACUCCACCCCCACGGGCUCGGGCCUGCCCGGCUGGUCGUGAAGCGUUGCUGUGACGGUAGCCAUGGGGACCCAGGGCCGCCUGGUGCUCCACACAGGCAUGUUGGCUCAGAUUCAGGCCACGACUGCAGAAGUAACUCGGAAAUGCUAAACUGCACCUUGUUUUGGUGUUAAGUUUCAGGGGACCCAAACUCUAGCAAUAGCUGCGAAUAUAUAAUUAUAAUGCUUUUUAUCGCUAGAAUAUUUAGCGCUAGAAUAAAAUUAGUUAAAAUCAUUUUAUGAAUAUGAGGGAUAGGUGGUUCCUGAUACGGUAUUACGUGGUCUUAACUGAGUUCAUUUUAGAGACUGAACAGUGAUUUUUAGAAGACCCUAGUAAUUGGCAGGUAUAGACCAACUCUACAGGGGCUUAAUGAGACAUCUGUACUGGAUUAUCAAAGUCACUUUUCUGUAUUAUCCUCAACAGCUGUUUGUAAAAGAGCCAUCCUGUUGAGCAGUACUGUUGAAGUUAAUGUUUUGUCCUAUGUGAUGCAAGAAUUCACACUUGGAAAACAAAACUGUUGGACAAUUUUAUAUUCAACAUAGAAGUGACUUUUAAAUGAUAUUACAUUGAAUACAGACAAAUGGGAAGAUUAGUCUUCAAGCCUUGUAUAAAGACACUAAAGAAAUCUCACCGCUACAAAUGAAGACUUCCUGCCACUUUGGGCAGUAAUUUGGUUUAACUUGCCUUCAAGUAUCCCAAAACCCCAUACAAUGUAAAGUUAAUGAUCAGAAUCCCAAAUGAGGAUUUCUUAAGAAAAGAGUUUGGUGUGAUUAUUCUGGAGAUGUCUCAGCGCUGCUGCUGCUGCUGAAAUGUAAACUAGUUACUACAACUCCCAUCAUACAUGUGACACCAUGACAGUUCUGAAGGAACCAAAUAAGGAAGAAAAUGGGAAACAGAGGGUCCCGCCCAGGGGAGGAGAUGAAUGAACCACAUGAAUGGGACACCACCAAUUCCCACCCUGGUAGGGAUAAAAACCCGUGAUCAUGACCUCCUCAAUGUGACUCAUUCUCUGAGUUCACCCUCACUUCAGGUGUGUACUUUAAUUUUCAAUAAAUCACUCACUUUCCUG
Hipposideros armiger (great roundleaf bat) is the source of this 1643-nucleotide long non-coding RNA. RefSeq lists it as uncharacterized. Lineage: Eukaryota; Metazoa; Chordata; Mammalia; Chiroptera; Hipposideridae. The record is from RefSeq and is a predicted model, not a curated record. The transcript is spliced from 3 exons.